UACGGAGGGUGCAAGCGUUAUCCGGAUUCACUGGGUUUAAAGGGUGCGUAGGUGGGUUGAUAAGUCAGUGGUGAAAUCCCCGAGCUUAACUUGGGAACUGCCAUUGAUACUAUUGAUCUUGAAUACCGUGGAGGUCAGCGGAAUAUGUCAUGUAGCGGUGAAAUGCUUAGAUAUGACAUAGAACACCAAUUGCGAAGGCAGCUCGUUACACGAAUAUUGACUCUGAGGCUCGAAAGCGUGGGGAUCAAACAGG
This 253-nucleotide ribosomal RNA is filed under the name uncultured bacterium. Its description in RNAcentral is "partial 16S ribosomal RNA". It matches the Rfam family "Bacterial small subunit ribosomal RNA", at positions 524 to 776 of the family's 1533-position model. The record is from RNAcentral.